Sphaerodactylus townsendi is the source of this 76-nucleotide small nucleolar RNA. RefSeq annotates it as small nucleolar RNA SNORD53/SNORD92. The record is from RefSeq and is a predicted model, not a curated record. The transcript has a single exon. NCBI's taxonomy places the organism in Eukaryota, Metazoa, Chordata, Lepidosauria, Squamata, Sphaerodactylidae.
UUGCUGUGAUGACUUCCAUGUUGGUUUCGCUUAUCACUGAAUUCCUUUGAGGACUUCCUCUUGGCUGUCUGAGCAU